GACGAACGCUGGCGGUGUGCUUAACACAUGCAAGUGGUGCGACGAACCAGAGCUUGCUCUGGGGCAAAGCCGCGAACGGGUGAGUAACACGUGGGUAAUCUACCCCGAUGACCGUGACAACCCGAGGAAACUCGGGCUAAUACCGGAUGUGGUGCGGAGACAUAAGUCUCUUCACUAAAGGUAGCUUCGGCUUCCGCAUUGGGAGGGGCCCGCGGCCCAUUAGCUUGUUGGUGGGGUCAAGGCCUACCAAGGCAACGAUGGGUAGCUGGUCUGAGAGGACGAUCAGCCACACUGGGACUGAGACACGGCCCAGACUCCUACGGGAGGCAGCAGUGGGGAAUCUUGGGCAAUGGGCGAAAGCGUGACGCAGCAACACCGCGUGAGGGAAGAAGGCCUUAGGGUUGUAAACCUCUUUCAGAUGGGACGAAGGUUCUCCGGUGAAUAGCCGAGAGGAUUGACGGUACCGUCAGAAGAAGCACCGGCUAACUACGUG
This 493-nucleotide ribosomal RNA is filed under the name uncultured bacterium. RNAcentral's name for it is "partial 16S ribosomal RNA". It matches the Rfam family "Bacterial small subunit ribosomal RNA", at positions 28 to 507 of the family's 1533-position model. The record is from RNAcentral.